UCAAUAUCGACAGUGCAUAGGACUGCAAUAUAAUAAACCCAAAGGUCUCAUAUAUAUUAAAUUGAUUCUGUUGCAUUACAUUGAGCACAAUCCAAAGAUUACAAGAUGUGAAACAAUCUAGUAGUAGGCUAAUUCUCAACCUUGCAAUUAACAUCUCCGACAUUCUAAAACAUAUUGUUUGAAACAUUGACCUAAAGAAUAACAUUCUAAAAGAUAAUGUGAAACUAUCUAGUAGUAGCCCAUUCACGGCCUUGCAAUCAGCAUCCAAGCCAUGCAUCAUGAAUUUAUCUUCGUGAUCAACAACAACAAGGAAAUGAGAUCAGUAAAUUAAGGUAGUCAUAAUCAAGUUAAAAAAGGCAGUAAAAUUUAGAGGAGCGGCAUACAAAGGUUGAUGGCCAUGCAACAAUUGAUCAUGUUGCAUAUAUUAAGUGGCAUGUUCUAAAUCAUCAGCAAUUUUUCACGUUGUAUAUCGAAUGAAUGACCUGAUACAAUGUGCACCGUAUUAUUAUUGCACAAAAUAGAACUGACAACAAACUAAGAAGAUAGGCUGAUCAUUAGUCAUUCAUUGUCUACAUGUGCAUGCAUUGUGUUAGUUUGGUACCAGAUAUCAUACGUUUCAAUUACAAUACAAGAUGUGCAGUUUUUAUGGUUGAAGAGAUAUGUACGGACACCAUAAUAGAGUAAUUGGUGUAUCAAUUCAUUACCUGUCCUGAAUGUUGCCGCUGCCACCACAGUCUAAGCAUCCAAGGUCAUGUUCAGUAUUCUGCAAAUCUGAGGGAAAAUUAACUUUCGCUAGCUUUGUUCUUUUAGAUUAUGAACUACAUAUUCUAAAUAUUUAAGGACAACAUAACAUGAUAGAUAACAUAUAAUUUACAGAGCCAUAAAGUAAGGUCGAUCCAAUAGAGAUAUUGUGCCAAAGAUGUGGCCAAUACGUGAAUUGUAGAAAUAUGUAACGUGAUGGACCUAGAGGACUUGCUGCAGGCGUGAACAGCCGUUGCCGUGCCCUACCACGACACAUUGCUGCUAGAAUGCCGCACCAUUUCAAUGUAAAUAUGCAUGAUGAAGAGCGAACAAAAUCUAGAUUGUUAAGAUGGGAAAGUCAUCUUUGGGAAGAAGCGAACACCUCUUAGCUGAAAUAGGCAACUUCAUGGGAAGACAUGAACACAAAUCGUGCAGCAUUGUGAGAGUAGGGAAAUUAAAAAUCUUACUGCCUCAUGGACCAGGAAUGGUUUUUCCAAAUAAAUAAAUUGAUGUUGCACAACCACCCUUGUUUCUAUGACCAAACAACAAUUCAGCUACUUCCUCAACAUAAACAGUUUAGAGGAAUUUCGGAUCUAAUCGACAUCUUUUGCAACUUUAGGAAGCAGCUUCCUCAACAUAAACAAAGAGCCGUGGGAUAUGAUGAUUAUUUCUAUUAUAUAGACUGUUUGGCCGGCUCGGAACCGGACAGUGUUAGACAACAUUAGAGUCCGUACAGAAAUCGUUGUAUAUCAAUGUGCGGAGCUGGUGAAAAUCUUGGCGUGCAGAGCAAAAAAGAAAGAGCUUAGAUCAAUCAGAAAUGAUAAGGAGAUUGGCAAGCUAGUUCAGUCCUAGUUCUACUUAUUUUUCCCAUUAUUUUGUAUCAUGUUUUCCGUACCUGACUUCCUAUUGUUUCUGCUUGUGCACAACAGUUGAAUGGGCUGCAUGUAACACAAGCUCUGCCCGGAGCUUGACUCUAUUUAAUGUUAAUAUCAAGGUAGGGUCCGCUCCUCCCGAAUUGCUUAAAAACACUUAGCUACACCCCUAAUCAGGCCCAAAUGUUGCAUACAGUUGACAUAAAAAACAAUCAUCCAGGUUUGCGUAUAAAUUUGUACUCUAGAGGACUAAUUAGAGGAACACUAGCCAAAAAUUAACCAUGGCAGUACUAAUAUUUAUGAAUUUACUGGAAUCAGUAUAGAUGGACAUACUCGUCAAUCCAAAAUUAAUUAAUUCACGCAUGAGCUAAAGCGGAUGCUCGAAUUUGCAAAAACAUCUAGGAGCACCGAAGUGUCAAUAAUGUUGUAGAAAUCGGGGGUACAUGCAGUUUACUUUGGGAAAAGGGAUCAGUUACCUUCAUUGAGGGGGAUGCAUACAGGCGAGGCGGGGGUUGACUGGAACCUAUGGCAUCUUACCCUGGAAAGAGUGGCUGUAGUUGAGGAAUGACCGACGCAGGCAGAGAUUCAACGAAGAAAGGACAGAUCAAAUAAAUCAAGAAAUUGAAAGUAGUACGAGAGAUUGAAACACCUAAAUAACCGAAGAAAAUGGCGGCUGCUCUGGAGAUGUAGAAGAAGCAUGGUGUCC
RNAcentral lists this long non-coding RNA (2319 nucleotides) under Triticum aestivum (bread wheat). Its description in RNAcentral is "long non-coding RNA (TAES_LNC001159)". Lineage: Eukaryota; Viridiplantae; Streptophyta; Magnoliopsida; Poales; Poaceae. The record is from RNAcentral.